UAAUACACUGAGUGGCCAGAUUAUUAUGAUCUCUGAACGCAUAAUAAUCAGGCCACUCAGUGUAUAUCC
RNAcentral lists this microRNA precursor (69 nucleotides) under Eptesicus fuscus (big brown bat). RNAcentral describes it as "microRNA efu-mir-9256b precursor (efu-mir-9256b-5)". It matches the Rfam family "mir-9256 microRNA precursor family". The record is from miRBase by way of RNAcentral. Lineage: Eukaryota; Metazoa; Chordata; Mammalia; Chiroptera; Vespertilionidae.